AUCCUGAAAUAUGGGCAUGAAAAUUGACAAAUGAUAUAGGAUUAUGUUCACAUAAACUUGCCAGUUGGUUCAUAUGUUUGCAUCGAAUUUAUGUUGCGUAAAUAUAUAUCCGAUUUCUUCUCCUAGGAUAUGUAAUCGAGUACCUAGGUUAUCUAUUCGGGGAAUGCAGUUGUAUUGUUUUCCUUUCGGAGUCUAUUAGUUCGUACGUUGAAUAACCUUUUGCUUUUACUACCUUGGUAUCUGUAGAUACAUUUCUGUGAUUGGAGAACGGAGCAGUUUGCAUGCUUGGGGGAAAGUCAUCUGGAGGAUAUAACUCGGAGAUCACUACUUUCAGUGACCGGUAUGCAGAGUUUGAAAAGUUGAACCAUGGAUGUUUUGGUGGGGAAGGUCACACUCUUCUCGCAGCGGGGUGCUAGUCGAAGAUACAUUUCUGUGAUUUGAGGAGAGCGGAGCAGUUUGCAUGCUUGGAGGAUAUAACUCAGGUUCAUUUAGUUCGCGGCCGGUCAUCAAAGCAAGCUUGUUUCUGCUUCCGUUGAUGGAUUAAUGUGGAGACAUAAAUGAUGAUGAUGAUCAUUUAAUUUCGGUUUUCAACGUCGAUUGGAAAAGUCGGAUUCUAGGGUGCAAUAAAUCACAAGUUGUGGUGCAUAACACAUAUCGAAACCCUGAGUUUCCUACAGUUGUCGUAUCUUUGCUCUUAUCAAUCAAAGGCUGGUGCACUACAUCAUUAACCAAACUAAUGAGAAAGGUAUGCUUUCUAAGUGGUGUUCCAUUAUUUUGAGAAUGUACUAGAUCCUCUUGACAAAAUGUGUGGGAACCUUGGUUAUUUUUAUUUAUAAAUUUAAUUAAAUGGGGCCGUCGAUUCCCCAAAUUUUAUUACCUGCGCUUUUAAGCCAAGGAUUCCAUCAUUUUGUUCGAGUUGUAACGAGCCUCUAGUACAUUAUCUUUUUAAUGGCA
Erythranthe guttata (spotted monkey flower) is the source of this 954-nucleotide non-coding RNA. The record is from RefSeq and is a predicted model, not a curated record. NCBI's taxonomy places the organism in Eukaryota, Viridiplantae, Streptophyta, Magnoliopsida, Lamiales, Phrymaceae.